This 348-nucleotide ribosomal RNA is filed under the name uncultured Lactobacillus sp. RNAcentral's name for it is "bacterial SSU rRNA". It matches the Rfam family "Bacterial small subunit ribosomal RNA", at positions 190 to 525 of the family's 1533-position model. The record is from RNAcentral. Lineage: Bacteria; Bacillati; Bacillota; Bacilli; Lactobacillales; Lactobacillaceae.
AAGACGUUUUAAAAAAGGCGGCGUAAGCUGUCGCUAUGGGAUGGCCCCGCGGUGCAUUAGCUAGUUGGUAAGUAAAGGCUUACCAAGGCGAUGAUGCAUAGCCGAGUUGAGAGACUGAUCGGCCACAUUGGGACUGAGACACGGCCCAAACUCCUACGGGAGGCAGCAGUAGGGAAUCUUCCACAAUGGACGCAAGUCUGAUGGAGCAACGCCGCGUGAGUGAAGAAGGUUUUCGGAUCGUAAAGCUCUGUUGUUGGUGAAGAAGGAUAGAGGUAGUAACUGGCCUUUAUUUGACGGUAAUCAACCAGAAAGUCACGGGCUAACUACGUGCCAGCAGCCGCGGUAAAU